Molecule: long non-coding RNA, 1464 nt
Organism: Homo sapiens (human)
Lineage: Eukaryota; Metazoa; Chordata; Mammalia; Primates; Hominidae
Source: Ensembl
GCAUGCAGGUGAGAAGGGAAGAUACAUGUAAUCUGCAUGUCUGCCACCAUUCCUUGUUACCCUUUUUCAUAUCCCAUGAGCACAGCACUCCAGCGGACCUACCCAAAAUAUGUGGGAGUUCAGUGAAACUCAAAUGAAACGACUAGGAGUUGAAGACUUGCCCACACAGUCAAUGGAAAAGAGGAGAGAGAAUUCAGCUCCCUAUGCGAGGCUUGUGGGGCAGGAAGGCUUCUUAUGAGAUAGAGCUGCAUCCUUCCUUCUGCGAGAGCAAGCCUGAACCUAUGUUUGCAGCAGACUUAAGGAGAGUGGUCCUCAGAGGGGUCAGAGCAAGCAUGCUUCUGGUCAGCCUAUACAGUCUCUGUCCUGGUGAGGAGCAUGAUCACCAACAGGCAAGAUCUUCUGGCCUUGAAGUUUCGCUUGAGUUAAAAGAGCUCAUCUCAGGACUUUCUGAAUUUUCAGCCCAUAUGACAUGGAAGAAGAGUUAGAAGGGGAAUCUGACUGCUUGGAUCAGGGACUGUCUGGCUGGUGGAACUUGAAUAGAUGUACAGUGCGCCACUCUGAGGAUCAAGUCUGACCCUGCCUUUAAAUUUGGAUUCAAAGUACUUAGAUUUUCUGGAAUCCCAUUCUACAAUCUUCUGGUCGAAAGUAUAAAACCAGUCUGCAGGUGUACCCAACAGCUCCGAAGAGACAGUGACAUCGAGAACGGGCCAUGAUGACGAUGGCGGUUUUGUCGAAAAGAAAAGGGGGAAAUGUGGGGAAAAGCAAGAGAGAUGAGAUUGUUACUGUGUCUGUAUAGAAAGAAGUAGACAUAGGAGACUCCAUUUUGUUCUGUACUAAGAAAAAUUCUUCUGCCUUGAGAUGCUGUUAAUCUAUGACCUUACCCCCAACCCCGUGCUCUCUGAAACAUGUGCUGUGUCAAACUCAGGGUUAAAUGGAUUAAGGGCGGUGCAAGAUGUGCUUUGUUAAACAGAUGCUUGAAGGCAGCAUGCUCAUUAAGAGUCAUCACCACUCCCUAAUCUCAAGUACCCAGGGACACAAACACUGCGAAAGACCGCAGGGACCUCUGCCUAGGAAAGCUAGGUAUUGUCCAAGGUUUCUCCCCAUGUGAUAGUCUGAAAUAUGGCCUCGUGGGAAGGGAAAGACCUGACCAUCCCCCAGACCAACACCCGUAAAGGGUCUGUGCUGAGGAGGAUUAGUAUAAGAGGAAAGCAUGCCUCUUGCAGUUGAGAGAAGAGGAAGACAUCUGUCUCCUGCCCAUCCCUGGGCAAUGGAAUGUCUCAGUAUAAAACCCGAUUGAACAUUCCAUCUACUGAGAUAGGGAAAAACUGCCUUAGGGCUGGAGGUGGGACAUGUGGGCAGCAAUACUGCUUUGUAAAGCAUUGAGAUGUUUAUGUGUAUGCAUAUCUAAAAGCACAGCACUUGAUCCUUUACCUUGUCUAUGAUGCAAAGACCUUUGUUCACGUG